UACGUAGGGUGCAAGCGUUAAUCGGGAUUACUGGGCGUAAAGCGUGCGCAGGCGGUUGUGCAAGACAGAUGUGAAAUCCCCGGGCUUAACCUGGGAAUGGCAUUUGUGACUGCACGGCUAGAGUGUGUCAGAGGGGGGUAGAAUUCCACGUGUAGCAGUGAAAUGCGUAGAUAUGUGGAGGAAUACCGAUGGCGAAGGCAGCCCCCUGGGAUAACACUGACGCUCAUGCACGAAAGCGUGGGGAGCAAACAGG
Molecule: ribosomal RNA, 253 nt
Filed under: uncultured bacterium
Lineage: Bacteria
Description: partial 16S ribosomal RNA
Rfam family: Bacterial small subunit ribosomal RNA
Source: RNAcentral